RNAcentral lists this ribosomal RNA (185 nucleotides) under Mycosphaerella grandis. RNAcentral describes it as "5.8S ribosomal RNA". The stretch from base 1 to 150 matches the Rfam family "5.8S ribosomal RNA". Rfam says of the family: 5.8S ribosomal RNA (5.8S rRNA) is a component of the large subunit of the eukaryotic ribosome. It is transcribed by RNA polymerase I as part of the 45S precursor that also contains 18S and 28S rRNA. Lineage: Eukaryota; Fungi; Ascomycota; Dothideomycetes; Mycosphaerellales; Mycosphaerellaceae. The record is from RNAcentral.
UUUAACAACGGAUCUCUUGGUUCUGGCAUCGAUGAAGAACGCAGCGAAAUGCGAUAAGUAAUGUGAAUUGCAGAAUUCAGUGAAUCAUCGAAUCUUUGAACGCACAUUGCGCCCCUUGGUAUUCCGAGGGGCAUGCCUGUUCGAGCGUCAUUUCACCACUCAAGCCUGGCUUGGUAUUGGGCGCC